Molecule: ribosomal RNA, 269 nt
Filed under: uncultured prokaryote
Description: partial 16S ribosomal RNA
Rfam family: Bacterial small subunit ribosomal RNA
Source: RNAcentral
UACGUAUGUGGCGAGCGUUGUCCGGAUUUACUGGGCGUAAAGGUAGCGUAGGCGGACUUUUAAGUGGGAUGUGAAAUACCCGGGCUCAACUUGGGUGCUGCAUUUCAAACUGGAAGUCUAGAGUGCAGGAGAGGAGAAUGGAAUUCCUAGUGUAGCGGUGAAAUGCGUAGAGAUUAGGAAGAACACCAGUGGGGAAGGCGAUUCUCUGGACUGUAACUGACGCUGAGGCUCGAAAGUGUGGGGAGCAAACAGGAUUAGAUACCCUGGUA